UUAAAAAUAGUUCAGAGUCUUAGGCAAAGUGUAAUUAAAUGUAGCAUUUCAUAUUUGAAGUGUUCUUUGGAUACCACAUCUACCUUGUUCCUGUUAUACUUGUAUGAAUCAAUGAAUAGGUAUAGUUCUCAUGGGACCUUUACUUGACUCAUAAUUCUCCAAUGAAUCAGCCUAGUGAAGUAUCAGAAAAGUCAAACAUAUUAUAAAUAUGCCUAUAUACGUGUGUGUGUGGAGGGGAAGAUAUUCAGCUUUCACAUCUCUCUAACGUUCAAUUCUCUGUAUGUACAAUGAGCCUGGAACUCAGGUGUUAAGAAGAGUUCAUUGGCCACUGAAGGAGACUCCUCCCCUGUGUUGGGGAGAGAAGGACUUUACUCUUUGGAAUUACUUAUUCUUCACUAUUACCUGCCCACCACACAUCUGGGGAUUGAGCCCAUUGCUUUACUGCUGAGCUACAUCCCCAGACCUUUCUUAACAUUUAUUCUGAGACAGAAUCUAAGUUUCUCAGGCUGGCUUUGAACUUAACAUCUUCCUGCCUCAGCCAUCUGAGUAGCUGGGAUUGCAGACUUGUGCCACCACCCCAGGCUUGCAAUUACUUUUUGUAUUGACAUUUCGAGAGCCUUUUGUUACUUUAUUUAUAAAACAGGCUUAUCUGUUGAUCAAUUUUCCUACUACUUACAAAAUCACAAUAUUAAUUGGCAUAAUUUAUAGCCUUUUUAUUAGAACACUUUGAGGAACAUAAAGCUAAUCAGUCAAAAGGCAGCUUUUAGGAGAAGGAGUAUCUCAUGGCUAUUUCUUUUCUUUUUAUGAUAUCAGGGAUUAAAACCAGGGGGCUUAACCAUUGAGCUGCAUUCCCAGACCUUUUUAUAUUUUAUUUAGAGAUAGUCUCCCUAAAUUGCUUAGGGCUCUGCUAAGUUGCUGAGGCUGGCUUUGAACUCUUGAUUCUCCUGCCUAAGCUUUCCAAGCCACUGGGAUUACAGGCAUGUGUCACCAGACCCAGUUUCCCAGGGCUACUUCUAAGUAAGAAAGAACUU
RNAcentral lists this long non-coding RNA (1031 nucleotides) under Marmota monax (woodchuck). The record is from RNAcentral. Lineage: Eukaryota; Metazoa; Chordata; Mammalia; Rodentia; Sciuridae.